GGGGAUGCUAACGAUCGACGGGAUUGUACCUUAAAAACUGCAAGCCAAGGUGAUUGACCUUGUAAAACCAAUCAAAAAAUAACUGUCGAUAAAACGGCAGAACUGGAAGCAUUUGUCGAGUACGGCGAGAGUCUUCUUGCCAAAGCUCGGGAAGCAGCUUUCGGUGCCCAAAACUUCGCAUUCGCGACAGUCUAAGGCCAUCAACUCCGUCUUUCUUCGGUGGGACAUGAGAUUGGUGUAAAUACAGCCGAGGUGCUCUCCGGUAGGUGACUGCCAUCGGGGAAAAGAUUCAGUCUUACUUACGUUAUAAAUUGUCUGUUGAUAUUGUAACGUGAGGAAUUACCCACCUUCGCGUAAAGCUUCGGUGGGCAAGCAACAGACUAAGCUUGUAGAUGUUUCUAAGUUGCGUCUUCGGACUCCGCGUCACCCGCGGACAUCUCCACAC
RNAcentral lists this transfer-messenger RNA (445 nucleotides) under Patescibacteria group. RNAcentral describes it as "GWA2-43-14 sp001779315 Standard tmRNA". It matches the Rfam family "transfer-messenger RNA". Rfam says of the family: Bacterial tmRNA, also known as 10Sa RNA or SsrA, is named for its dual tRNA and mRNA-like properties. Its role is to liberate the mRNA from a stalled ribosome. The record is from RNAcentral. RNAcentral also lists the same sequence under 5 other names.